This 253-nucleotide ribosomal RNA is filed under the name uncultured bacterium. Its description in RNAcentral is "partial 16S ribosomal RNA". It matches the Rfam family "Bacterial small subunit ribosomal RNA", at positions 524 to 776 of the family's 1533-position model. The record is from RNAcentral.
UACGUAGGGACCAAGCGUUGUUCGGAUUUACUGGGCGUAAAGGGCGCGUAGGCGGCGUGGUAAGUCACUUGUGAAAUCUCCGAGCUUAACUCGGAACGGUCAAGUGAUACUGCUGUGCUAGAGUACAGAAGGGGCAAUCGGAAUUCUUGGUGUAGCGGUGAAAUGCGUAGAGAUCGGGAGGAACACCAGAGGCGAAGGCGGCGACCUGGACAGGUACUGACACUCAACUACGAAAGCGUGGGGAGCAAACAGG